This is a long non-coding RNA of Antechinus flavipes (yellow-footed antechinus), 2492 nucleotides long. RefSeq lists it as uncharacterized. NCBI's taxonomy places the organism in Eukaryota, Metazoa, Chordata, Mammalia, Dasyuromorphia, Dasyuridae. The transcript is spliced from 3 exons. The record is from RefSeq and is a predicted model, not a curated record.
AAAGACCUGCCCUCAAAUCUGGAAUCCCAAAUGACCUUUUAGAAUGUCUAUCAACCUAUUUUAUAACUUCCAAACUGAUUUAUAAUUUAGCUCUCUGAAAGGGUGGUAUAGUAAAGCUGGCAUGACAAUCCCAUAUUAUGAAUUCUAGUCCUGGUGGAUUCUGCUAUUAGCUAGCUUGUUGUGACUUUGGACAAGUCACAAGUCCUCUGUGCAGUGCAGAAUCCUCCUCUGUAUAAUAAAGAUUUUAAAAUCCUGCUAUUCUAUAUUGCAAGAUUAGCCUGAAGAAGAGCUGCCACCAACAAUCUCAACUUAACCCAAGAUUUCUCUCACUAACAACACCUUGGCUCAGACUUAGCAAAAAAUGGACACUAUGAGUGAUACAAUAAACUUGUGUGAACAGUUUGGAAUUAGCAUAUCUGCAUAAAAUGCUUUCAAAGGAUCCAAAUCUUAUCUGAAAAGAAAUGAACUCUGGGUUGCCACCCUACAAGCUACCUAUACCAUAUUACACAGCUAGAUCGUAAACAAAAUAUAAAAACCAAAUAAGAGGAUGAGAAAGCCAACAUAAACAAGAUGAAGAAAGAGUCGAUGAAAUGUUGCUUGGUAUGUAAUUCCCCGUUCAAUAAAAGGGUGUGACAUCUGGCACUUUCAGGCCAGUAUUUUUUUUUUUUUUUAAACUUAGAAGCUUCUCACCUCUUCAACACAGCAUUGAUACGGAUUUUAAAAGAUAUAGCAUAUACCUUAAUAUUUAAUAUGCACACAUCUUUACUAGACAUGCUUGCACGGUUAAUACAUAACAAGAGUCCUCAUCCGAGUUUUGUCAUUAAGUCAGAACAAAACAAAGUAUAUUGAAAGCUAACAGUUCACUAAAUGCCAAGAAGCAAAUUGAGUUCUAAGAAAAAUAGAAGAAACCAGAAAGCAAGAACUGUGUGUCCUGCAAGAAAUGCUGUGUUGGUCGAAGGAAAGUGGUGGCUGUUGGAAGGAGUCCUACAACUUUGCAAUGAUCUCAAACACCAACAGCCUCAGCUUCUUUUCUUUGUAGUUAUGCCCUGGGGAAGAGCAGGAUGGCAAAGCCCCAAGCCGCAUCGGGGAAAACACACACACACAGCUUUCUGGGACGCGGCCUCGGUGCACUUUCCCGGAGACUUAGAUCAGCGAUCUUCUGCCCUUGGCUGCGGACAGUCUAGAAGGAGCGGUAGCAUCGGAACUGCUGGCUCCAGCCUCUGCUGGACUCCUUAGCAUCUCGCCCCAUUGCUCAGAGGCUCACUCCUUCCCACAUCCACCCCGCCCUAUACAACCCCAACCCAGCCCCGCGCAGUCUAGCAGCCCCAAACCGCGGCAGCAACGAACAAUAGGAUAGGGCCAAGUACUCGGUGGACUUUUCUUAAUUAAAUAGCAGAGAGAGAGCGCAGAAAGCAGCUGGAGCCUGACUUCUUAGAGGAGGAGGAGGUAAUAGCUAGGAGUCCCGGGGGAGGAGAAGGAGGAGGAGACGGUACAGGCGAUCUUACAGCUGCUGUAGCAGCAGGAGGUGCUUCGGGCUUUUUAUCUGACUGGCCGGAGUCCUGCUUACAUCACCUGGAAUUCAGGAGGAGGGUGUUGGGAAUGGAGAUCGUAUGCUGAGAGGCGAAAUGGAAAGGAGAAGGAGGGUACUGAAAAACAAAACAGUAAGCCCCAAAAGGAGUUUCAAGGAGCGUGGACCCCAAGUCCAUGAUUCACUUUUGCAAUUGUCAUCCUCCAGAGAGACUUACACAAUUUCCUUACCACUAAAAGGGAUCUUUUAGGAUUUCUUGGGCUUUACAGAACCAAUAUGAAGUUACCAAGGAAGACUCGAGUUACUCGAGUGGGUUAUCACUGUUGUUGAUAUACUGAAAAAAAUAAUUUCCUUUUCCUGGUCACGUUUUAGAAAAAAAGAUCCUUUUUUUAAUUGUUGUUGUUCUAGAGCAGGAAUUCUUAAACCUAAAAGUCCAGGAACUAAAGUGGCUCUGCGAACUUGGAUGGGAAAAUAAAUUUCCACUGAUCUCCAACUCAAAUUUAACAUUUUCUUCAAUUUUUUUAAAAAAAGUAAUCUUAGGAGGGCUUCUUAGGCUUCAGCAGACUACCAAAGGGAUCCACAAUUGAGGGAAAAAAGAAAUAGAACUAAAAACUAAUGUUAAGAACUCCUGGCCAGAGUGCCUGUCUCCUUUCUUUGGGAUGGGAGUAUUCUCCGUUUCUGACUGAUUGGAUAUUCUGUCAUAUGAGAGAAAAAUAGAGAGGGAGAGAGAGGCAUAUAUGUAUAUGUGAGUGCAUAUAAGCAUAUGUGUAUACAUAUAUGCAUACUGUAUAAAAGUUGAGGAUUUGGCUGAUCCAAUUAAUUUUAAUUUUGAUGGACAGCAAAUUAUUUUUUUCUCAUUUCUUUUUUUGGGUGGCAGCUUUCCUGUUAAGUAGCAAGCUACAUUCAAGUUUGCUAGUUAAUUACUUUAUUUGAACUAGAAAAUUACACAGAUUCCUUACACCCA